Molecule: long non-coding RNA, 1119 nt
Organism: Syzygium oleosum
Lineage: Eukaryota; Viridiplantae; Streptophyta; Magnoliopsida; Myrtales; Myrtaceae
Exons: 3
Source: RefSeq, a predicted model, not a curated record
ACUAUUUCUCCUUUGGGCUUUAGCGACCCAAUCAACCACCUUAUUGGCUUCUUUACUGAUAUGGGCCAAAUUUAGCUUCAAGUAGGGCUUGCGCAGCUGUUGGGCUUCGCUGAUAAGCAGAUGGAGCUCCCAACUGAUCUGUGCUUGAUCUGCGAGCCCACUUAUCAGAUCCAAGUGAUCCGUUUCAAUCUCCACCUCUUCUCCCGAUCGAACGAGAAAGUACUUUAGGGUUUGUACCAAGGCUGUCGCUUCUGUCAUUGCCGCCGAUGAAGCUUUGAUCGAUCGAGCGAACCCGUCCACCAGGCGCCCAUUGUGGUCUCUACAGAUAGCAGCAAUAGCUCCUUCGCUCGUUCCUUCCAGAUAAGCACCGUCUAUGUUGAUUUUUAGUUUUCCUCUCUCCGGUGGUCGCCACUGCUGGGAAGGAAUUGCUGAUAAAGCUUCUUCUUUUUUCUUCCCAGGAAGCCAUCUUGUGCAAUUUCGAAGUAACAAGUGAGCAUUCUCCGCCGUACGCUCGGGAUCUGGUUUCAGUGACCGAAAAAUGCCGUUGUUUCUGGCUUUGCAAAUCUGCUAGAGGACGCUCGCCAACAACUCGAGAGGAAUGCAGAGAAGGAUGAUCCCAUACCUUCUUCGUCCAGGGGCACAGGAGGAGGAUAUGGUCCACAGUCUCUGGGCUUUGCUUGCAGAUGCUACAAAUUGGAUCAGGUUUUAAAGCUUUAGCAGACCAAGCGACCUUCUGUCACCAAGGCCAGUGCAUCAACAGCCAUUUGUUGACUGGCAAAAUUGUCAAGACCAAGGACACAGAGAGAAGAAGAAAGAGCUGGUAGGGUUUGUGGGUAAUGGGGGAAGGGGUUUAGGGUUUAACAGGGUUUUGGGUUUCUGAUGUAAAGGGGUAAUGAUUUUUCCACGAAGAAGUGGAAAGAUUGAAAAGAAAAAAAGGAAAGCGGAUUGACAUAGGAAAGGGAUUAGGGUUAGAAAUUUGGAUUGAGAUUGAAGAGAGCUACCACAAAAUAGGGUAGAGAGAAGCUCUCAUGAUGAGAGAGAGAACUGGAACCGAUUCCAGAGCCUGAAAUUUUUACGGCAAUUUCAAUUGACUGGUUUUUAGAAUUUUAGGGUACUUUA